RNAcentral lists this ribosomal RNA (439 nucleotides) under uncultured bacterium. RNAcentral describes it as "partial 16S ribosomal RNA". It matches the Rfam family "Bacterial small subunit ribosomal RNA", at positions 339 to 795 of the family's 1533-position model. The record is from RNAcentral.
CUACGGGCGGCACCAGUGAGGAAUAUUGCACAAUGGGGGGAACCCUGAUGCAGCAACGCCGCGUGGAGGAUGACGCAUUUCGGUGUGUAAACUCCUUUUAUAUGUCAAGAAAAUGACGGUAGCAUAUGAAUAAGCACCGGCUAACUCCGUGCCAGCAGCCGCGGUAAUACGGAGGGUGCAAGCGUUACUCGGAAUCACUGGGCGUAAAGGACGCGUAGGCGGGUUGGAAAGUCAGGUGUGAAAUCCUACAGCUUAACUGUAGAACUGCACUUGAAACUUCUAAUCUAGAGUAUGGGAGGGAGAGAUGGAAAUAGUGGUGUAAGGGUAAAAUCCGUAGAUAACACUAGGAAUACCUAAAGCGAAGGCGAUCUCCUGGAACAUUACUGACGCUAAGGCGUGAAAGCGUGGGGAGCAAACAGGAUUAGAUACCCUAGUAGUC